UACGGAGGGUGCAAGCGUUAUCCGGAAUCACUGGGUUUAAAGGGUGCGUAGGCGGCGCUAUAAGUCAGGAGUGAAAUCCCCCAGCUAAACUGGGGAACUGCUUUUGAUACUGUAGUGCUUGAAUCAGGCUGAGGUCAGCGGAAUGAGUCAUGUAGCGGUGAAAUGCAUAGAUAUGACUUAGAACACCAAUUGCGAAGGCAGCUGGCUAGACCUGUAUUGACGCUGAGGCACGAAAGCGUGGGGAGCGAACAGG
Molecule: ribosomal RNA, 253 nt
Filed under: uncultured bacterium
Lineage: Bacteria
Description: partial 16S ribosomal RNA
Rfam family: Bacterial small subunit ribosomal RNA
Source: RNAcentral